This 303-nucleotide ribosomal RNA is filed under the name uncultured bacterium. Its description in RNAcentral is "partial 16S ribosomal RNA". It matches the Rfam family "Bacterial small subunit ribosomal RNA", at positions 507 to 809 of the family's 1533-position model. The record is from RNAcentral.
AGCAGCCGCCGCGGGAAUACGAAGGGGGCUAGCGUUGCUCGGAAUGACUGGGCGUAAAGGGCGCGUAGGCGGUUUUGACAGUCAGAUGUGAAAUUCCUGGGCUUAACCUGGGGGCUGCAUUUGAGACGUCAAGACUAGAGUGUGAGAGAGGGUUGUGGAAUUCCCAGUGUAGAGGUGAAAUUCGUAGAUAUUGGGAAGAACACCGGUGGCGAAGGCGGCAACCUGGCUCAUUACUGACGCUGAGGCGCGAAAGCGUGGGGAGCAAACAGGAUUAGAUACCCCCGUAGUCCAUGUCUCUUAUAU